This 64-nucleotide transfer RNA is filed under the name Acanthosaura armata (armored pricklenape). Its description in RNAcentral is "tRNA-Lys". Lineage: Eukaryota; Metazoa; Chordata; Lepidosauria; Squamata; Agamidae. The record is from RNAcentral.
CAUUAGGAAGCUUGCAACAGCACCAGCCUUUUAAGCUCGAAAAGGAGUAGUACUCCCCAAAUGA